This 2517-nucleotide ribosomal RNA is filed under the name Triticum aestivum (bread wheat). RNAcentral's name for it is "partial small subunit ribosomal RNA". The record is from RNAcentral. Lineage: Eukaryota; Viridiplantae; Streptophyta; Magnoliopsida; Poales; Poaceae.
AUGCAGCUGGCCAGGCUGGUGUGCUUGGCGACACGUGCGACCUCCGACGAGGCGUGGCGGUGGCACGCAAGGUACGUGCACAUGAAUUUCAACUCCCUUCAGAUGCUGGCUCGACAGGGCAUGGUGCGCGGCAUGCCGGCGGUCGAGCACGUCGAUCAGCUUUGCGACAUCUGCCUGGCAGGCAAGCAGCGCCGUGCAUCAUUCCCGGACGCGGCGAAUUAUCGAGCCGAGCAUGCACUGGAGCUUGUACACGGCGAUUUGUGUGGCCCUAUCUCUCCGGCGACUCCUUCUGGCCGUCGUUAUUUCCUGCUCCUCGUUGAUGAUAUGUCCAGGUUCAUGUGGCUGACACUACUAAGCAGCAAGGACGCGGCGUCGGACGCGAUCCGUCGCUUCCAAGAGCGCGUCGAGGUCGAGUCAGGGCGCAAGCUCCAUGCGCUGCGCACUGAUCGCGGCGGCGAGUUCACCUCCAUCGAGUUUGGCGAGUACUGCGCCGAUCGAGGCGUGCAGCGGCAGCUCACCGCCCCAUACUCACCCCAGCAGGACGGGGUGGUCGAGCGGCGCAACCAGACGGUGGUGUCAAUGGCGCGGAGCAUGAUGAAGGCGACGGCGAUGCCCGCCAAGUUCUGGGGGGAAGCGGUGACCACGGCCGUUUUCCUCCUCAACCGCGCGCCCACGAAGAGCGUGCGCGGCAUGACUCCCUACGAGGCCUGGCAUGGGACGCGUCCUGCGGUGCACUUCCUCCGCACCUUCGGGUGUGUGGCACAUGUCAAGAACGUGCGCCCGCACCUGAAGAAACUCGACGACAGAUCGACGCCGAUGGUGUUCAUCGGCUACGAGGAAGGCAGCAAGGCGUACCGUGUCUUCGACCCGAUCGGUGGGCGCGUCCAUGUGACGCGCGACGCCGUCUUCGACAAGGGGGCGCACUGGAACUGGGAAGCGGAGGAACGCGCUGCGGGCACCAACGCCUUCACCAUCGACUACGAGGUGCGUCGCGUCCCUGCAAUGGCAGGGAGGAUUGUGCCUAACACGCCGCCGCGUCAGUCUCCUGGUGCGGCCGGAGUGACGCCCGAGCCAGAGAACGCAGCCGUAGCAACGGCGGGCGGCGCAUCAGAAGCAGCGGCAGCAGCGUCCCCAACACGCAGUGAGCCCGCGACGCCCCGCUCAGCUGCAACAGGAGCAUCUCCAACAUAUGCUGAGCCCGCGACGCCCAGCUCAGCAACAACUUCAGCAUCUCCGGCGAGCAGUCCACGGAUCACCUACGUCACGCCACCAACGCCAUGCUCGGAGAUGCACGAUGUAGCCGUGGAUGCCCACGGUCCUCUGCGCUUCCGGCGUGUGUCGGAUCUGUUCGGUCCGGACCUGGAUGAGGAGGAGGAGCUGCUGCUCACUUCUGCAGAGGAGCCGUCCUCGUUCUCUGAAGCAGAGCACGAGCCGAGCUGGAAAAAGGCCAUGAUCGAGGAAAUAGGCUCGAUUGAGGAGAAUCAAACCUGGGAGCUCACUGAUCUUCCCCCAGGUCACAUUUCCAUUGGAUUGAAAUGGGUGUUUAAGGUCAAGCGCGACGAGGACGGAGUGGUGACCAAGUACAAAGCACGGCUGGUGGCGAGAGGUUUCGUCCAGCAGGAGGGCAUCGACUUCGACGAGGUAUUCGCGCCGGUCGCUCGCAUGGACUCGGUGCGUCUGAUGCUCGCACUCGCCGCGCAGGAAGGCUGGCGCGUCCAUCACAUGGAUGUGAAGUCUGCCUUCCUCAACGGCGACUUGGCAGAGGAGGUGUACGUCCGGCAGCCGCCGGGUUUUGUCGUUGCAGGAGAGGAGCACAAGGUGCUGAAAUUGAGGAAGGCACUCUAUGGCUUACGACAAGCACAGCGGGCUUGGAAUGCCAAGCUGGACGCCACGCUCGCUGCUCUGGGCUUUGUCAGGAGCGGCUCAGAGCACGCGGUCUACGUCCGACGCGGACUCCUGGUGGGCGUGUACGUCGACGACCUCCUCAUCACCGGACCAAGCGACGACGACAUCCGCAGCUUCAAGGGGGAGAUGAUGGCCAAGUUUCGCAUGAGCGACCUGGGCCUACUCACCUACUACCUCGGCAUCGAGGUGCACCAAAGCGCGCACGGGGUCACACUCGGCCAAGCUGCGUACGCGUGCAAGAUUCUGGAGAAGGCGGACAUGCUGGACUGCAACCCCUGCCACGCGCCUAUGGAGCCCAGGCUCAAACUGAGCAAGAACAGCGAGGCUCCACCAACGGACGCCAGCGACUACAGAAGCAUCGUCGGCAGUCUUAGGUAUCUGGUUCACACUCGACCAGACAUCUCGUUUGCCAUCGGGUAUGUGAGCAGGUUCAUGGAAGCACCAACAACGGAGCACCUCACGGCGGUCAAGCACAUCCUACGCUACAUCGCCGGCACGAUCGACUACGGCUGCAGCUACCGGAGGAGCGGUAGCCCUGUUCUGUCCGGGUACAGCGACAGCGACCUGGGAGGCGAUCCAGACACACGCAAGAGCACCACUGGUCUCCUCUAG